Molecule: ribosomal RNA, 402 nt
Filed under: uncultured bacterium
Lineage: Bacteria
Description: bacterial SSU rRNA
Rfam family: Bacterial small subunit ribosomal RNA
Source: RNAcentral
ACAUGCAAGUCGAACGAAGUAGCAAUACUUAGUGGCAGACGGGUGAGUAACAUGUAGGUAUCUGCCCUUUGGCCUGGAAUAACACGAGGAAACUUGUGCUAAUACCGGAUAAGUCUUUACGGAGAAAGCUUUAUGCACCAUUGGAUGAGCCUGCACUUGAUUAGUUUGUUGGUGGGGUAAUGGCCUACCAAGACUGUGAUCAAUAGCUGAUUUGAGAGGAUGAUCAGCCACAUUGGGACUGAGACACGGCCCAAACUCCUACGGGAGGCAGCAGUGGGGAAUCUUGCACAAUGGAGGAAACUCUGAUGCAGCGAUGCCGCGUGAGUGAAGAAGGCCCUUGGGUUGUAAAGCUCUUUCGUCGGGGAAGAAAAUGACUGUACCCGAAUAAGAAGGUCCGGCUAA